GUAGGAGGCAAGCGUUAUCCGGAUUCACUGGGCGUAAAGCGCGUGCAGGCGGUGCGGUAAGUUGGGUGUGAAAUCUCCCGGCUCAACUGGGAGAGGUCAUUCAAUACUACCGUACUCGAGAGCAGAAGAGGAAGAUGGAAUUCCCGGUGUAGUGGUGAAAUGCGUAGAUAUCGGGAGGAACACCAGUGGCGAAGGCGAUCUUCUGGUCUGUUUCUGACGCUCAGACGCGACAGCUAGGGUAGUAAACGGGAUUAGAGACCCCGGUAAUCCUAGCCGUAAACGAUGUGAACUUGGCGUUGGUGGGUUAAACUCCAUCAGUGCCGCAGCAAACGCGAUAAGUUCACCGCCUGGGGACUACGGCCGCAAGGUUAAA
This 373-nucleotide ribosomal RNA is filed under the name uncultured bacterium. Its description in RNAcentral is "bacterial SSU rRNA". It matches the Rfam family "Bacterial small subunit ribosomal RNA", at positions 527 to 898 of the family's 1533-position model. The record is from RNAcentral.